GUACUGCUGAGGAGUCCCACACUAGGACGAAACGGCCGUCCACUGC
This 46-nucleotide non-coding RNA is filed under the name Schistosoma haematobium. The record is from RNAcentral. Lineage: Eukaryota; Metazoa; Platyhelminthes; Trematoda; Strigeidida; Schistosomatidae.